Molecule: long non-coding RNA, 343 nt
Organism: Mustela erminea (ermine)
Lineage: Eukaryota; Metazoa; Chordata; Mammalia; Carnivora; Mustelidae
Exons: 3
Source: RefSeq, a predicted model, not a curated record
UUGGCUAACUAAAGCAAGAAUGAAAUUUAAUGGAAGGAUACAGCUAACUCACAGAGAGGGCCAAGAACCAGUCUUGGAAGAAGACAGGAACUAAGCCAGUUCUGGAGGAGCAGAAACGAGCAGGAGUUCGUGAAGUAAGUCCUUAAAAUCACAUCUGUUCACCUUAUGUGACGGGAAGGAGAGGCGACUUCUGAAGCAGGGUGAUUGAAAUGGAAAUACAUUCAAAUAAAUGGACUCUGGAGCUCCACUUUGUUCUAAAUAACCUCUACUGUAACAACAUCCAACUGCUUUCUUCAUAAGAAGACUAGGAAAGUAUAAUGAAAACUAUAUGGAGAAGGAUAAA